GGUCAAGCUAAUAAGGGCUUGCGGAGGAUACCUAGGCACACAGAGGCGAAGAAGGACGUGGUUACCAACGAUAAGCUCCGGGGAGUUGGAAGCAAGCAUAGAGCCGGAGAUUUCCGAAUGGGGAAACCCUUAGAACUGACUGUUGAAUAUAUAGACAGUAAAGAGCGAACCCAGCGAACU
Molecule: ribosomal RNA, 180 nt
Filed under: Westiellopsis sp. Ar73
Lineage: Bacteria; Bacillati; Cyanobacteriota; Cyanophyceae; Nostocales; Hapalosiphonaceae
Description: partial 23S ribosomal RNA
Rfam family: Bacterial large subunit ribosomal RNA
Source: RNAcentral